GUGCCUAACACAUGCAAGUCGAACGGAGUUUAUGAAGUUUUCGGACAGAAUAAACUUAGUGGCGGACGGGUGAGUAACGCGUGGGUAACCUGCCUCAUACAGGGGGAUAACAGUUGGAAACGGCUGCUAAAACCGCAUAACAUUGCGACACCGCAUGGUGAUGCAAUUAAAUAUUUAUAGGUAUGAGAUGGGCCCGCGUCUGAUUAGCUAGUUGGUGAGGUAAUGGCCCACCAAGGCGACGAUCAGUAGCCGGCUUGAGAGAGUGACCGGCCACAUUGGGACUGAGACACGGCCCAAACUCCUACGGGAGGCAGCAGUGGGGAAUAUUGCACAAUGGGGGAAACCCUGAUGCAGCGACGCCGCGUGAGUGA
RNAcentral lists this ribosomal RNA (371 nucleotides) under uncultured bacterium. RNAcentral's name for it is "bacterial SSU rRNA". It matches the Rfam family "Bacterial small subunit ribosomal RNA", at positions 44 to 408 of the family's 1533-position model. The record is from RNAcentral.